GCAGGUGGUAGACUAGGUAUUUCCAUAUAUACACUAUGUUUACAGAAUUGCGGCCAGUGGAGCAACAUAGCUGAUGAGUUAAUAGCACUAGUUCUUCAGACAAAUAACUUUAUUUUCAACCUAUAAAGCAUAUUUAGCUGUAGGUGGGGCCAAUUAGCUGUAAGAUCUGGCUUUUGUUCUGUUAAGCCCUUAGAGUAAUGAAUUUCAGAGUGAAGACCAUAGCGCCUUUUCCUAGUCAAGUAUCGGGCAGCUGUAUGUCUUUUCAGAAAUGCACAUGUCUUUUUAAGCAUGUCAUUGUGUUUGCUUUUAAUAAGAUAGGCAAUAAACUCAUAACCUUUAGACAAAUGAGCAUCUGUAAAUUCAGAUUUCACUAUUUCAGAGUCAGCCAGACCAUGAUUGAGCUUAAGGAUUGUGCUGCGGAUGCAGCCUGUGCAGUUCCGGGAGAAAGUCACUGUCUCGGGCAAUGCGGUCUGGUAUCAGGUCUGGAUGAUCCUUGCCUGACUGCGGGUUUGUGUACACCUCAAUCCGACUCUGUGUCCUGAACAGAGACCGCAGUGGUGCAGCGCUUGUGGACGAUCCAUCAACAUCCUGAAAGUUUGGCCAUGCCCAGGAGGGAGUGACUGAGUUAUGGGGUGCAGAAGAAGCACAAGCCUUCUCGACAUGAUGAAUCAUCCCCAACAGCGCUUGAGGAUGGUUUCCUGCUCGAUGAGGAUGAAUCCAUAACUGAGAACUGAGGAUGAUACUUCUCUCAACACUGCAUUGUAUGAAGACAAAGCAACUCAGAGUGGUUAGUCAUCGUCAACAACAGAACCAGACUCAGCUGCCGUUGGAGUCUGCCAAGUUGAGAUCACUGUGCCUAUCAGGGUUGAGUGUUACAUACUGAACGAAGUGAUCCAAAGCAAUUUAUUGUCAAUACGCACGCUAGAGACCUGGACAUUCGCUUUUUACAUUCAGAUCAAAGCAUGGCAAAACAUAUUUAAGGAUGAAAGUAUGUGUUAAUGAAGCAGGACACACUACUGAAUAUGUUCAUGGUUAGGAAGUUGCCCAGAACCAUUUUUUGUGGGAACAAAUUUCUAGUGAUUAUCUUUUUGCCCUUUAGCUCACCUGAGCACAAUGUGCUAAUGGUGAGCUUUUUUGAUCGCCUUUUGGCAGUCGUGGAGUGCGUGUUGUGUGGCGUCAACAUUUGCCUUGUAAACAAUCUUGAGGCCACAUUAAUUGUCCAAACUUCAUGAAAUUUGGUCAGAACAUUUUUCCAAAUGGAAUCUUGGACAAGUUAAAAAAUUGUUCCGGUUUAUUGUCCGUCAUCAUGAAACUUGGUCAGAGGAUUUGUCAAAAUGAUAUCUUGGGCAAGUUCAAAAAUGGUUCCGGUUGGUUCAAAAACAUGGGCACCAGGGGGUGGGGCAUUUUUCCUUAUAUGUCUAUAUAUAGCUAUAGAAAAACUUGGUAUCCGGACAAUCGCUCCUACAGACAAUCGCUCCUACGCUAAAUUUGACAGGGCGGACGGUCGCUCCUACGAUGUUUUGACAGGGCGGACAGUCGCUCCUACGAUGUUUUGACAGGGCGGACAGUCGCUCCUACGAUGUUUUGACAGGGCGGACAGUCGCUCCUACAUUAUUUUGCCAACCCGGACAAUCGCUCCUACAUUAUUUUGUCAACCCGGACAGUCGCUCCUACAUUAUUUGGACUCCACGGCAAAAUGUAGUGUAUGCCGAUCAAAGGCUAACACCUAUGAUUAACCGACAAUUAAAAUUGCCAACUUGUGUCGAAAAAUGCGAAAUAAGCCAGAUAUUUAAAUUUGAAAUCGAAAAUGUCUGUACAUUUGAAUUUGCCAGCAUGUUGCAUUUCAUGAAUUUUGUAUUCAAUGUAUAAUUGUUCUUGUCUAUUUUGUGUUAUUGUAACAUAUACAUAUAACAUUUUAUCAAUAUAUUACAAUUCAACACAUACAAAAAUUGUUCAGUAUCACUUUAACACACUAUUUUAAUAAUCAUAGAAAUGCCGAUUAAGAAAUUGUUCAGUGUCAUAUCAAUCAAUGGGUCAAAUGUGAAAACAAUGACCUAGCCAAUUGUUUACUAACCUUAAUUCACUUUAAAGGGAUCUUUUGACGGUUUGGUAAAUUGACAAAAUUGAGAAAAGUUGUUUCAAAUUCGCAAAUUUUCGGUUUAGUUAUGAUAUUUGUGAGGAAACAGUAUUACUGAACAUUUGCCAUGGUCUAAUAUAGCCAUUAUAUGCAUCUUUUGACGAUUUAAAAACCUAAAAAUUAUAAAGCGUUGCAACGCGAAGCGAUUGAAUAAUUUGGAAAGUUCUAGUGAUGUCGUUUAAAUUUGUGAAACUACGAUGAUAUAAGGUAUAAAAUACGCAUCUUAUGUAUCCUUGGCAGGAUAGCUAAGUUGGCUAAUGCGUUUUUUACUUCGAGUCCUGCUGCGGGCUACUUUUGUUUUCCUUUUUUAAAUUUUAUUUUUUACUGGAGCUUUUAAAAUUUUAUGUUUACAUUUAUUAAUAUAAAGCAUUUAAUAGCAAACUUCAAAACAUGCCAAAAUCUGUGAAAAGGCCCCUUUAAUGUGACGCCAUUCUGUAAUCUUUAUGCACGGUUCGCACAUCAUAGGUGUCAAAGUGGUCAUUAUCGAUUGAUACUACCAUUGUUGUUAUAGCAAUUAUUGAUUUAAUGCGGUUUUUAUGUUUAUUCCAUUUGCAAAAUGGCACUUAUUCCAAUAAAUGUAAUAUAGGAACGAAUGUCCCUGAUAGGAAUAAUGUAGGAACCAUUGUCCAAAGUGCCCUUAUAACUACCUUAUAUUUACAGAAUCGACAAACUGUAACAUAGUUUGUCAGUAAGUAAAUUAAUUAAUUAAAAUCAAAUUGAUCGCCUCAUGUUAAAUUGGCUUUCUGUUAACAGGUUGGCAAUUUUAAUUGUUGGUUAAUUAUAGGUGUAAGCCUUUGAUCAGCGAAUAAUAUGUUUUGCCGUGGAGUCAAAAAUAAUGUAGGAGCGAUUGUCCGGGUUGACAAAAUAAUGUAGGAGUGAUUGUCCGGGUUGGCAAAAUAAUGUAGGACCGACUGUCCGCCCUGUCAAAACAUCGUAGGAGCGACUUUUCGCCCUGUCAAAACAUCGUAGGAGCGACUAUCCGCCCUGUCAAAACAUCGUAGGAGCGACUGUCCGCCUUGUCAAAUUAAGCGUAGGAGCGAUUGUCCGUAGGAGCGAUUGUCCGGGAUUCGAAAAACCUUUUUAACACUAUAGAGUGUCCCAAUGAUAUCAUGAAAAACAUGGCCACCAAGGGGCGGGGCUUUUUCCUUACAUGACUAUUGGUAAAAACAUGUUAACACUCUCAGUCGCAUUUAUAGUCCAAUCUCCAUGAUGAAAAAUUCUUAUGUGAUUAUGAAUUUUCUUCAGCAACAUUAAUACCCUGCCCCAUACGAUAAUGGCUCUUAUGCUUACAUGUUUGUUGCCUGCAUCACUGCAGAAUAUUAGCUGUUUUCUCCCGAUAUGUUAUUAAUUUUGUAAUAUCAACAACUUGCUUAAUACGUGUAAUAAAUUGCUUAUUUUUUAUGCCAGUUGUAUUGAUAUGUGUUUAUGAAUGAUGAAGUUUUGAUGAAAUAUCAUUAAAUUGUAAAAACUA
This is a long non-coding RNA of Dreissena polymorpha, 3608 nucleotides long. RefSeq lists it as uncharacterized. NCBI's taxonomy places the organism in Eukaryota, Metazoa, Mollusca, Bivalvia, Myida, Dreissenidae. The transcript has 3 exons. The record is from RefSeq and is a predicted model, not a curated record.